CAGCCGCCGCGGUAAUACGAAGGGGGCUAGCGUUGUUCGGAUUUACUGGGCGUAAAGGGUGCGUAGGCGGACUGAUAAGUCAGGGGUGAAAUCCCAAGGCUCAACCUUGGAACUGCCUUUGAUACUGUUAGUCUUGAGUUCGAGAGAGGUGAGUGGAACUGCGAGUGUAGAGGUGAAAUUCGUAGAUAUCGGAAGGAACACCAGUGGCGAAGGCGGCUACCCGGAUUGACACUGACACUGAGGCGCGAGAGCGUGGGGAGCAGACAGGAUUAGAUACCCCGCGUAGUCCCUGUCUCUUAUA
This 301-nucleotide ribosomal RNA is filed under the name uncultured bacterium. RNAcentral's name for it is "partial 16S ribosomal RNA". It matches the Rfam family "Bacterial small subunit ribosomal RNA", at positions 509 to 808 of the family's 1533-position model. The record is from RNAcentral.